GGGNNUGGCGACUGCUACCAUGCAGUCGACGAUGGUCCCCAGCUUGCUGGGGGGAUUAGUGGCGAACGGGUGAGUAACACGUGAGUAACCUGCCCUUGACUCUGGGAUAAGCCUGGGAAACUGGGUCUAAUACCGGAUACGACCGCUCACCGCAUGGUGUGGUGGUGGAAAGCUUUUGCGGUUUUGGAUGGACUCGCGGCCUAUCAGCUUGUUGGUGGGGUAAUGGCCUACCAAGGCGACGACGGGUAGCCGGCCUGAGAGGGUGACCGGCCACACUGGGACUGAGACACGGCCCAGACUCCUACGGGAGGCAGCAGUGGGGAAUAUUGCACAAUGGGCGAAAGCCUGAUGCAGCGACGCCGCGUGAGGGAUGACGGCCUUCGGGUUGUAAACCUCUUUCAGUAGGGAAGAAGCGAAAGUGACGGUACCUGCAGAAGAAGCGCCGGCUAACUACGUGCCAGCAGCCGCGGUAAUACGUAGGGCGCAAGCGUUAUCCGGAAUUAUUGGGCGUAAAGAGCUCGUAGGCGGUUUGUCGCGUCUGCUGUGAAAGACCGGGGCUCAACUCCGGUUCUGCAGUGGGUACGGGCAGACUAGAGUGAUGUAGGGGAGACUGGAAUUCCUGGUGUAGCGGUGAAAUGCGCAGAUAUCAGGAGGAACACCGAUGGCGAAGGCAGGUCUCUGGGCAUUAACUGACGCUGAGGAGCGAAAGCAUGGGGAGCGAACAGGAUUAGAUACCCUGGUAGUCCAUGCCGUAAACGUUGGGCACUAGGUGUGGGGGACAUUCCACGUUUUCCGCGCCGUAGCUAACGCAUUAAGUGCCCCGCCUGGGGGAGUACGGGCCGCAAGGCUAAAACUCAAAGGAAUUGACGGGGGCCCGCACAAGCGGCGGAGCAUGCGGAUUAAUUCGAUGCAACGCGAAGAACCUUACCAAGGCUUGACAUGGACUAGUAACGCCUGAGACAGGCGCCCCUCUUGAGGCUGGUUCAACAGGUGGUGCAUGGUUGUCGUCAGCUCGUGUCGUGAGAUGUUGGUUAAGUCCCGCACCGAGCGCAACCCUCGUUCUAUUGUUGCAGCGCGUAUGCGGGACUCAUAGGAAGACUGCCGGGUCAACUCCGGAAGAAGUGGGGAACGAACGUCAAUCAUUCAUGGCCCUUAUGCUCUGNNCUUGCAGCGNUGCUUAACAUGGNCGGUACAAGGUUGCGAUACGUGGAAGGGAGACUUAUCCGCAAAAAUCGGGCUCUCUAGAAUUCGGAUGUNGCG
RNAcentral lists this ribosomal RNA (1260 nucleotides) under Bacillota bacterium. RNAcentral describes it as "bacterial SSU rRNA". It matches the Rfam family "Bacterial small subunit ribosomal RNA", at positions 38 to 1309 of the family's 1533-position model. Lineage: Bacteria; Bacillati; Bacillota. The record is from RNAcentral.